Molecule: unclassified non-coding RNA, 312 nt
Filed under: plant metagenome
Description: partial contains 5.8S ribosomal RNA, internal transcribed spacer 2, and large subunit ribosomal RNA
Rfam family: 5.8S ribosomal RNA (bases 1-104)
Source: RNAcentral
AAAUGCGAUAAUUAAUGUGAAUUGCAGAAUUCAGUGAAUCAUCGAGUCUUUGAACGCACAUUGCGCCCCCUGGUAUUCCGGGGGGCAUGCCUGUCCGAGCGUCAUUGCUGCCUCAAGCACGGCUUGUGUGUUGGGCUUCCGUCCCUGGCAACGGGGACGGGCCCAAAAGGCAGUGGCGGCACCAUGUCUGGUCCUCGAGCGUAUGGGGCUUUGUCACCCGCUCCCGUAGGUCCAGCUGGCAGCUAGCCUCGCAACCAAUCUUUUUAACCAGGUUGACCUCGGAUCAGGUAGGGAUACCCGCUGAACUUAAGC